Molecule: ribosomal RNA, 207 nt
Filed under: uncultured bacterium
Lineage: Bacteria
Description: partial 16S ribosomal RNA
Rfam family: Bacterial small subunit ribosomal RNA
Source: RNAcentral
CGCGUAGGCGGCAAGGCAAGUGGAAGGUGAAAUCCCCGGGCUCAACCUGGGAACUGCCCUCCAAACUGCUUUGCUUGAGUCCGGGAGAGGUGAGUGGAAUUCCCAGUGUAGCGGUGAAAUGCGUAGAUAUUGGGAGGAACACCAGUGGCGAAGGCGGCUCACUGGACCGGAACUGACGCUGAGGCGCGAAAGCGUGGGGAGCAAACA